Molecule: long non-coding RNA, 723 nt
Organism: Oryza brachyantha (malo sina)
Lineage: Eukaryota; Viridiplantae; Streptophyta; Magnoliopsida; Poales; Poaceae
Exons: 3
Source: RefSeq, a predicted model, not a curated record
ACUAUCUGCUGGGUGGGGCCACCCGCUCAUCUGCCCAAAAUACACCCAUCUCAUCAUCUCCAUCACCAUUUUCGAUCCCCUUCUCUCUCGAACCGCUCGUGCGUGCUGCCGUCUCUGAUCUCACCAAAAUUUCAGAAUUUUCCCUCACCUGCGCCUCUCAAUCCUAUCAGAUCAUCAAACCCCUUUUCACUAGUUCCCGAUCGAGCGGCAGCAAGCAGCGGAGCAGCGCAGUCCCGCCGUAAAAGUCUCGUGAGAGAGGUCCUCGUGGCAGCCAUGGCGGAGCAGUUCGCGGACUCGGCGAACAAUGUAGUCAUCGAGGAGGUCAGCAAGGGACUGAACCCUGGAAUGAUAGUCCUCCUUGUGGUUGCGACCUUCCUGCUGCUUUUCUUUGUUGGGAAUUAUGCCCUCUAUGUGUAUGCUCAGAAGACGCUGCCUCCUCGGAAGAAGAAGCCAGUAUCGAAGAAGAAGAUGAAGAGGGAAAAACUGAAGCAAGGUGUCUCUGCGCCAGGAGAGUGAAUAGAACCACCGAUUAUGGUGUUACUGGUUUGAUUCAGAACCCGCUUCUCUUAGUAGGAAACAGGAUACAUAUACCAGCUGGAACAGCAGCGUUUACCACAACUUAUUUCAGCCAACUGAUGAACUUUAUCCCAAAUUGAGAUAUUGUGGUGUUGAUCUUUGUAAGGCUUUCGAACUGCAAGCUUUAAUAGUAGUGUCUUCUGCAAA